RNAcentral lists this ribosomal RNA (277 nucleotides) under uncultured bacterium. RNAcentral describes it as "partial 16S ribosomal RNA". It matches the Rfam family "Bacterial small subunit ribosomal RNA", at positions 336 to 631 of the family's 1533-position model. The record is from RNAcentral.
CGCCUACGGGAGGCAGCAGUGGGGAAUAUUGCACAAUGGGGGAAACCCUGAUGCAGCGAUGCCGCGUGGAGGAAGAAGGUUUUCGGAUUGUAAACUCCUUUUAUCAGGGACGAUAAUGACCGUACCUGAAGAAAAAGCUCCGUCUAACUACGUGCCAGCAGCCGCGGUAAUACGUAGGGAGCGAGCGUUGUCCGGAUUUAUUGGGUUUAAAGGGUGCGUAGGCGGAUCGUUAAGUCAGUGGUCAAAUUGAGGGGCUCAACCCCUUCCCGCCAUUGAA